Molecule: ribosomal RNA, 766 nt
Filed under: Dothideomycetes sp. genotype 420
Lineage: Eukaryota; Fungi; Ascomycota; Dothideomycetes
Description: eukaryotic LSU rRNA
Rfam family: Eukaryotic large subunit ribosomal RNA (bases 179-766)
Source: RNAcentral
UCCGGGGGGCAUGCCCGUUCGAGCGUCAUUAACACCACUCAAGCCUGGCUUGGUAUUGGGCGUCGCGUCCGGCGCGCGCCUUCAUGUCGUCGGCCGAGCCGUCCGUCUCUAAGCGUUGUGGUCAUUCAUCCGCUUGCGAGUCGGUCGGGUCUGCGCCGUUAAACCCUUUAUCAAAGGUUGACCUCGGAUCGGGUAGGGAUACCCGCUGAACUUAAGCAUAUCAAUAAGCGGAGGAAAAGAAACCAACAGGGAUUGCCUCAGUAACGGCGAGUGAAGCGGCAACAGCUCAAAUUUGAAAUCUGGCGCAAGCCCGAGUUGUAAUUUGUAGAGGAUGCUUCUGGGUCGCGGCCGGUCUAAGUUCCUUGGAACAGGACGUCACAGAGGGUGAGAAUCCCGUAUGUGAUCGGCUUGCACCCUCCACGUAGCUCCUUCGACGAGUCGAGUUGUUUGGGAAUGCAGCUCUAAAUGGGAGGUAAAUGUCUUCUAAAGCUAAAUACCGGCCAGAGACCGAUAGCGCACAAGUAGAGUGAUCGAAAGAUGAAAAGCACUUUGGAAAGAGAGUUAAAAAGCACGUGAAAUUGUUGAAAGGGAAGCGCAUGCAACCAGACUUGUCGGCGGUGUUCCGCCGGUCUUCUGACCGGUCUACUCGCCGCCGACAGGCCAGCAUCGUCUGGGCGCGCCGGAGAAAGGCGCCGGGAAUGUAGCUCCUCGGAGUGUUAUAGCCCGGCGCACAAUACGGCGCCGCCCGGGCGAGGUCCGCGCUCGG